CAAUCAAUCAAUGCAUGUUUCCGUUUCAUGUGUUAAAUACGGGAUCCAAGAUGUUUUUUUCGCUUGUUUAAAUUGAGCCUAUCUAACGUGUUUAACCAGCCAACGUGUUUAACCAACGUGUUUAACCAACUUGUUUAACCAACCAACCAACUAACCAACCAACCAACCAAUCAACCAAUCACUGCAUGUUUCCGUUUCAUGUGUUAAAUACGGGAUCCAAGAUGGUUUUUUAUCGCUUGUUAAAAUUGAGCCUAUCAAACGUGUUUAAACUACGUGUUUAACCAGCAUGUUUAACCAACGUGUUUAACCAGCAUGUUUAACCAACGUGUUUAAUCAACCAACUAACCAACCAACCAAUAAAUCAAUGCAUGUUUCCGUUUCAUUUGUUAAAUACGGGAUCCAAGAUGUUUUUUUUCGCUUGUUUAAAUUGAGCCUUUCCAACGUGUUUAACCAGCCAACAUGUUUAACCAACGUGUUCAACCAACAUGUUUAACUAACGUGUUUAACCAACCAACCAACCAAUCAAUCACUUAAUGUAUGUUUCCGUGUCAUGCGUUUAAUACAGGAUGCAAGGUCUCUUGAGGUUUUUUUCCCCUUGUUCUAAGUGACCCUAUCAAACGUGUUUAAUCAACCAACCAACCAACCAACCAACAAACCAACCAACCAACCAACCAACCAAUCAAUCAACCAACUAAUCAAUCAAUCAAUAUGUAUGACUGUUUAUUUAUGACAGUAUAUUGAAGGAACAAACUCUCAAUUAUUCAAGAAAAUUUUUAUUUUAUUAUUGUUCUUACGUCUCUUCUGAAAAAAAAUCCACAUAUUCUCUGAAACUACAAGUCCAAUCGACCUGAAAAUUUGCAGUCAGCAGGGCAUACAUGUACUGAAGGUUCAUAAAAAAACUUUUUGCAGAUAUCUCUCAAGACUUUUCCUAGAAAAAAGAAAUGGCAAUGCAGUAAAAAUCGCUUGCUAGGUCCGUCAAUCUCAGUAAAAACCUACAAUAAAAUGUCCGCUCCGAGAUUGAAAUACUAAUCUGUGUUACAAACAGGUGCUGAAAAAUGGACAUUAUCAAAAAAUAAUCAUUAAAUGUGUUUUAAAGUUACACCGGAUCGAUUAAAUCCAAAACAUGCACUGCUGGUGAACUGUGAUCAAAAUGUCAAUUUCCUACAAUGACAAAAGAAAUUACAUUGUGUACAUUCCGUCUCUAGAGAUGUUGUCUAUUCAACGUCUCCACCUAAAAAGAAAUAAAAAGACUAAGUUUUUCUUAAUAUAAACCCGCGUCACGUGAUGUCUCCUCAAUCUUGCGCGCGCGCUGUAUCUAAAAUAAAAGAAAAACUUUCCAAACUAAACAUGAAACUUCUCCGGUAACAUAAUAAUAUAGACCCCAUACCAAAGCAAACAAACAAACAAAUAAACAAAUACGCCCCCCCCCCUUUUCCAAAUCAAUCAAUAAAAAAAAAAUCAAUUAUCCAUUCAUCAGAGGGGAAAGACUGC
This 1491-nucleotide long non-coding RNA is filed under the name Mytilus galloprovincialis (Mediterranean mussel). Lineage: Eukaryota; Metazoa; Mollusca; Bivalvia; Mytilida; Mytilidae. The record is from RNAcentral.